UACAGCCAUACUAUGUUGAAACACUGGUUCCUGUAUGAUCACUGAAGUUAAACAACAUCGUGCCUGGUCAGUACCUAGAUGGGUGACUGCUUGGGGAUACCAGGUGCUGUAAG
Molecule: non-coding RNA, 113 nt
Organism: Acanthosepion pharaonis
Lineage: Eukaryota; Metazoa; Mollusca; Cephalopoda; Sepiida; Sepiidae
Source: the annotation of a GenBank genome assembly